RNAcentral lists this ribosomal RNA (1286 nucleotides) under metagenome. RNAcentral describes it as "bacterial SSU rRNA". It matches the Rfam family "Bacterial small subunit ribosomal RNA", at positions 242 to 1520 of the family's 1533-position model. The record is from RNAcentral.
UAGCUAGUUGGUGAGGUAAAGGCUUACCAAGGCGACGAUCUGUAGCGGGUCUGAGAGGAUGAUCCGCCACACUGGAACUGAGACACGGUCCAGACUCCUACGGGAGGCAGCAGUGGGGAAUUUUGGACAAUGGGGGCAACCCUGAUCCAGCCAUGCCGCGUGAGUGAAGAAGGCCUUCGGGUUGUAAAGCUCUUUCGGCCGGGAAGAAAUCGCAUGGGCCAAUACCCUGUGUGGAUGACGGUACCGGAAUAAGAAGCACCGGCUAACUACGUGCCAGCAGCCGCGGUAAUACGUAGGGUGCGAGCGUUAAUCGGAAUUACUGGGCGUAAAGCGUGCGCAGGCGGUUUUGUAAGACAGGCGUGAAAUCCCCGGGCUUAACCUGGGAACUGCGUUUGUGACUGCAAGGCUAGAGUACGGCAGAGGGGGGUGGAAUUCCACGUGUAGCAGUGAAAUGCGUAGAGAUGUGGAGGAACACCAAUGGCGAAGGCAGCCCCCUGGGUCGAUACUGACGCUCAUGCACGAAAGCGUGGGUAGCAAACAGGAUUAGAUACCCUGGUAGUCCACGCCCUAAACUAUGUCAACUAGGUGUUGGGUGGGUAAAACCAUUUAGUACCGUAGCUAACGCGUGAAGUUGACCGCCUGGGGAGUACGGCCGCAAGGUUAAAACUCAAAGGAAUUGACGGGGACCCGCACAAGCGGUGGAUGAUGUGGAUUAAUUCGAUGCAACGCGAAAAACCUUACCUACCCUUGACAUGCCAGGAACUUGCCAGAGAUGGCUUGGUGCCCGAAAGGGAGCCUGGACACAGGUGCUGCAUGGCUGUCGUCAGCUCGUGUCGUGAGAUGUUGGGUUAAGUCCCGCAACGAGCGCAACCCUUGUCGUUAAUUGCCAUCAUUUAGUUGGGCACUUUAACGAGACUGCCGGUGACAAACCGGAGGAAGGUGGGGAUGACGUCAAGUCCUCAUGGCCCUUAUGGGUAGGGCUUCACACGUCAUACAAUGGUCGGUACAAAGGGUUGCCAAGCCGCGAGGUGAGCCAAUCCCAGAAAGCCGAUCGUAGUCCGGAUUGCAGGCUGCAACUCGCCUGCAUGAAGUCGGAAUCGCUAGUAAUCGUGGAUCAGCAUGUCACGGUGAAUACGUUCCCGGGUCUUGUACACACCGCCCGUCACACCAUGGGAGCGGGUUCCGCCAGAAGUAGGUUGCCUAACCGCAAGGGGGGCGCUUACCACGGCGGGGUUCGUGACUGGGGUGAAGUCGUAACAAGGUAGCCGUAGGGGAACCUGCGGCUG